RNAcentral lists this ribosomal RNA (525 nucleotides) under uncultured bacterium. RNAcentral describes it as "bacterial SSU rRNA". It matches the Rfam family "Bacterial small subunit ribosomal RNA", at positions 984 to 1509 of the family's 1533-position model. The record is from RNAcentral.
ACAUCCAGCGAACUUGGCAGAGAUGCCUUGGUGCCUUCGGGAACGCUGAGACAGGUGCUGCAUGGCUGUCGCCAGCUCGUGUUGUGAAAUGUUGGGUUAAGUCCCGNAACGAGCGCAACCCUUAUCCUUUGUUGCCAGCGAUUCGGUCGGGAACUCAAAGGAGACUGCCGGUGAUAAACCGGAGGAAGGUGGGGAUGACGUCAAGUCAUCAUGGCCCUUACGAGUAGGGCUACACACGUGCUACAAUGGCGCAUACAAAGAGAAGCGACCUCGCGAGAGCAAGCGGACCUCAUAAAGUGCGUCGUAGUCCGGAUCGGAGUCUGCAACUCGACUCCGUGAAGUCGGAAUCGCUAGUAAUCGUGGAUCAGAAUGCCACGGUGAAUACGUUCCCGGGCCUUGUACACACCGCCCGUCACACCAUGGGAGUGGGUUGCAAAAGAAGUAGGUAGCUUAACCUUCGGGAGGGCGCUUACCACUUUGUGAUUCAUGACUGGGGUGAAGUCGUAACAAGGUAGGCGUAGCGAG